AUCCAGCUGACAAGUCCCAAAUAGGACGAAACAAACGCCCUGGAU
Molecule: non-coding RNA, 45 nt
Filed under: Schistosoma margrebowiei
Lineage: Eukaryota; Metazoa; Platyhelminthes; Trematoda; Strigeidida; Schistosomatidae
Source: RNAcentral